Long non-coding RNA from Sphaerodactylus townsendi, 129 nucleotides. RefSeq lists it as uncharacterized. Lineage: Eukaryota; Metazoa; Chordata; Lepidosauria; Squamata; Sphaerodactylidae. The transcript has 2 exons. The record is from RefSeq and is a predicted model, not a curated record.
GGGGCUGAUGGGAAUUGUAGUCCAUAACAUCUGGAGUGCCAAAGGUUCGCCACCACUGCAAUAACUUAAGCAAGAAUAAUCUACGUGAAUUACUAUGUACUACAUAAUAAAUGUGUAUUAUUGCUGUUA